Molecule: transfer RNA, 76 nt
Filed under: Clostridia bacterium
Lineage: Bacteria; Bacillati; Bacillota; Clostridia
Description: tRNA-Thr
Rfam family: tRNA
About the family: Transfer RNA (tRNA) molecules are approximately 80 nucleotides in length.
Source: RNAcentral
GCCGAAAUGGCGCAACUGGUAGCGCAACUGACUUGUAAUCAGUAGGUUACGGGUUCGAUUCCUGUUUUCGGCACCA